This 788-nucleotide ribosomal RNA is filed under the name uncultured bacterium. RNAcentral describes it as "bacterial SSU rRNA". It matches the Rfam family "Bacterial small subunit ribosomal RNA", at positions 711 to 1498 of the family's 1533-position model. The record is from RNAcentral.
AGUGGCGAAGGCGGCUUGCUGGACUAAAACUGACGCUGAGGAACGAAAGCAUGGGUAGCAAACGGGAUUAGAUACCCCCGGUAGUCCAUGCCGUAAACGAUGUCAACUAACUGUUGGGUACUUCGGUACUUAGUGGUGGAGCUAACGUAUUAAGUUGACCGCCUGGGGAGUACGGCCGCAAGGCUAAAACUCAAAUGAAUUGACGGGGGCCCGCACAAGCGGUGGAGCAUGUGGUUUAAUUCGAUGCAACGCGAAGAACCUUACCUACCCUUGACAUCCAGAGAAUCUGUUAGAGAUAAUUGAGUGCCUUCGGGAACUCUGAGACAGGUGCUGCAUGGCUGUCGUCAGCUCGUGUUGUGGAAUGUUGGGUUAAGUCCCGUAACGAGCGCAACCCUUAUCCUUAGUUGCCAGCACGUAAUGGUGGGAACUCUAGGGAGACUGCCGGUGAUAAACCGGAGGAAGGUGGGGACGACGUCAAGUCAUCAUGGCCCUUAUGGGUAGGGCUACACACGUGCUACAAUGGCCAGUACAGAGGGCUGCAAACUUGCGAGAGUAAGCAAAUCCCAGAAAGCUGGUCUUAGUCCGGAUUGGAGUCUGCAACUCGACUCCAUGAAGUUGGAAUCGCUAGUAAUCGCGAAUCAGAACGUUGCGGUGAAUACGUUCCCGGGCCUUGUACACACCGCCCGUCACACCAUGGGAGUGGGUUGCAAAAGAAGUGGGUAGACUAACCUUCGGGAGGUCGCUCACCACUUUGUGGUUCAUGACUGGGGUGAAGUCGUAACAAGGUA